Molecule: ribosomal RNA, 429 nt
Filed under: Acidobacteriota bacterium
Lineage: Bacteria; Pseudomonadati; Acidobacteriota
Description: Acidobacteria bacterium partial 16S ribosomal RNA
Rfam family: Bacterial small subunit ribosomal RNA
Source: RNAcentral
UGGGGAAUUUUGGACAAUGGGGGAAACCCUGAUCCAGCCAUCCCGCGUGUGCGAUGAAGGCCUUCGGGUUGUAAAGCACUUUUGGCAGGAAAGAAACGUCAUGGGUUAAUACCCCGUGAAACUGACGGUACCUGCAGAAUAAGCACCGGCUAACUACGUGCCAGCAGCCGCGGUAAUACGUAGGGUGCAAGCGUUAAUCGGAAUUACUGGGCGUAAAGCGUGCGCAGGCGGUUCGGAAAGAAAGAUGUGAAAUCCCAGAGCUCAACUUUGGAACUGCAUUUUUACCUGCCGGGCUAGAGUGUGUCAGAGGGAGGUGGAAUUCCGCGUGUAGCAGUGAAAUGCGUAGAUAUGCGGAGGAACACCGAUGGCGAAGGCAGCCUCCUGGGAUAACACUGACGCUCAUGCACGAAAGCGUGGGGAGCAAACAGG